CCUGGCUCAGGAUGAACGCUAGCGGCAGGCUUAACACAUGCAAGUCGAACGGUAACAUGAGUGCUUGCACUUGAUGACGAGUGGCGCACGGGUGCGUAACGCGUAUGCAACCUACCUUUAACUGGAGAAUAGCCUUUAGAAAUGAAGAAUAAUACUCCAUAAUAUUAUCUUACGGCAUCGUAAGAUUCUUAAAGCUUCGGCGGUUAAAGAUGGGCAUGCGUUCUAUUAGUUAGUUGGUGAGGUAAUGGCUCACCAAGACUCCGAUAGAUAGGGGGCCUGAGAGGGUUAUCCCCCACACUGGUACUGAGACACGGACCAGACUCCUACGGGAGGCAGCAGUGAGGAAUAUUGCACAAUGGACGAAAGUCUGAUGCAGCCAUGCCGCGUGCAGGAUGAAUGCCCUAUGGGUUGUAAACUGCUUUUAUAUAGGAAGAAACUUUUCUACGUGUAGAGAACUGACGGUACUAUAAGAAUAAGGACCGGCUAACUCCGUGCCAGCAGCCGCGGUAAUACGGAGGGUCCAAGCGUUAUCCGGAUUCAUUGGGUUUAAAGGGUCCGCAGGCGGGAAAAUAAGUCAGUGGUGAAAUCCUGCAGCUUAACUGUAGAACUGCCAUUGAAACUGUUUUUCUUGAAUAUAGAUGAAGUGGGCGGAAUAUAUCAUGUAGCGGUGAAAUGCAUAGAUAUGAUAUAGAACACCGAUUGCGAAGGCAGCUCACUAAACUAUUAUUGACGCUCAGGGACGAAAGCGUGGGGAGCGAACAGGAUUAGAUACCCUGGUAGUCCACGCCGUAAACGAUGAUUACUCGUUAUUGGCGAUACAAUGUCAGUGACUAAGCGAAAGUGAUAAGUAAUCCACCUGGGGAGUACGAUCGCAAGAUUGAAACUCAAAGGAAUUGACGGGGGCCCGCACAAGCGGUGGAGCAUGUGGUUUAAUUCGAUGAUACGCGAGGAACCUUACCAGGGCUUAAAUGCAGAACGACAGAUUUGGAAACAAGUCCUUCUUCGGACGGACUGCAAGGUGCUGCAUGGUUGUCGUCAGCUCGUGCCGUGAGGUGUCGGGUUAAGUCCCAUAACGAGCGCAACCCCUAUCGUUAGUUGCCAGCGGGUCAUGCCGGGGACUCUAGCGAAACUGCCGGUGUAAACCGAGAGGAAGGUGGGGAUGACGUCAAAUCAGCACGGCCCUUAUGUCCAGGGCUACACACGUGUUACAAUGGUCGGUACAAUGGGCAGCUACCUGGCAACAGGAUGCUAAUCUCCAAAGCCGAUCCCAGUUCGGAUCGGAGUCUGCAACUCGACUCCGUGAAGUUGGAUUCGCUAGUAAUCGUAUAUCAGCAAUGAUACGGUGAAUACGUUCCCGGGCCUUGUACACACCGCCCGUCAAACCAUGGAAGUCGGUAACACCCGAAGUCAGUGGCCCAACUCGUAAGAGGGGGAGCUGCCGAAGGUGGGAUCGGUGAUUGGGGUGAAGUCGUAACAAGGUAAAUCACUAGU
RNAcentral lists this ribosomal RNA (1491 nucleotides) under uncultured prokaryote. RNAcentral describes it as "partial 16S ribosomal RNA". It matches the Rfam family "Bacterial small subunit ribosomal RNA". The record is from RNAcentral.